RNAcentral lists this ribosomal RNA (253 nucleotides) under uncultured bacterium. Its description in RNAcentral is "partial 16S ribosomal RNA". It matches the Rfam family "Bacterial small subunit ribosomal RNA", at positions 524 to 776 of the family's 1533-position model. The record is from RNAcentral.
UACAGAGGUCCCAAGCGUUGUUCGGAUUCAUUGGGCGUACAGGGUGCGUAGGCGGCGCGGUAAGUCGGGUGUGAAAUCUCGGGGCUUAACUCCGAAACUGCAUUCGAUACUGCCGUGCUUGAGGACUGGAGAGGAGACUGGAAUUUACGGUGUAGCGGUGAAAUGCGUAGAUAUCGUAAGGAAGACCAGUGGCGAAGGCGGCUCACUGGCCCGAUACUGACGCUGAGGCACGAAAGCGUGGGGAGCAAACAGG